This 482-nucleotide ribosomal RNA is filed under the name uncultured bacterium. Its description in RNAcentral is "partial 16S ribosomal RNA". It matches the Rfam family "Bacterial small subunit ribosomal RNA", at positions 30 to 507 of the family's 1533-position model. The record is from RNAcentral.
AUUGAACGCUGGCGGCAUGCUUUACACAUGCCAGUCGAACGGUAACAGCACUUCGGUGGCUGACGAGUGGCGAACGGGUGAGUAAUACAUCGGAACGUGCCUAGUAGUGGGGGAUAACUACUCGAAAGAGUAGCUAAUACCGCAUGAGAUCUAAGGAUGAAAGCAGGGGACCUUCGGGCCUUGCGCUACUAGAGGGGCUGAUGGCAGAUUAGGUGGGUGGUGGGAUAGAAGCGUACCAAGCCGACGAUCUGUAGCUGGUCUGAGAGGACGGCCAGCCACACUGAGAGUGAGAGACGGCGCAGACUCCUACGGGAGGCAGCGUUGGGGAAUUUUGGACAAUGGGCGCAAGCCUAAUCCAGCAAUGCCGCGUGCAGGAUGAAGGCCUUCGGGUUGUAAACUGCUUUUGUACGGAACGAAAAGCCCUCUUCUAAUACAGGAGGGUCAUGACGGUACCGUAAGAAUAAGCACCGGCUAACUACGUG